AGCUCAGUGGUAGAGUGCUUGCCUUACAUGCAUGAGGCCCUGGGUUCAAUUCCUCAG
Molecule: transfer RNA, 57 nt
Filed under: Dipodomys ordii (Ord's kangaroo rat)
Lineage: Eukaryota; Metazoa; Chordata; Mammalia; Rodentia; Heteromyidae
Rfam family: tRNA
About the family: Transfer RNA (tRNA) molecules are approximately 80 nucleotides in length.
Source: Rfam by way of RNAcentral